GGACUACAAGGGUUUCUAAUCCUGUUCGCUCCCCACGCUUUCGCGUCUCAGCGUCAGUACCGUCCCAGAGAGCCGCCUUCGCCACGGGUGUUCUUCCUGAUAUCUGCGCAUUUCACCGCUACACCAGGAAUUCCACUCUCCUCUUCCGGACUCUAGCCAGAUAGUUUCCACCGACAGCUCGAAGUUGAGCCUCGAGUUUUCACAGCGGACUUAUCUGGCCGCCUACACGCGCUUUACGCCCAAUGAUUCCGGACAACGCUUGCCCCCUACGUAUUACCGCGGCGGCUGGCAC
Molecule: ribosomal RNA, 292 nt
Filed under: uncultured bacterium
Lineage: Bacteria
Description: partial 16S ribosomal RNA
Source: RNAcentral